AGAGUUUGAUCAUGGCUCAGAACGAACGUUGGCGGCGUGGAUUAGGCAUGCAAGUCGAACGAAUCCCACCUGGGUAACUGGGUGGGGGAAGUGGCGAAAGGGGCAGUAAUGCGUGGGUAACCUGCCCGGGGGACGGGGAUAGCCCUCCUAACGGAGGGGUAAUACCCGGCGACGUAGCGGAGGGGCAUCUCUCUGCUACCAAAGGAGUUUCGCCCCCGGAGGGGCUCACGUGGUAUUAGCUAGACGGCGGGGUAACGGCCCACCGUGGCUGAGAUGCCUAGCAGGUGUGAGAGCACGACCUGCGCCACUGGCACUGGGACACUGGCCAGACUCCUACGGGAGGCUGCAGUCGAGGAUCUUCGGCAAUGGGCGCAAGCCUGACCGAGCGACGCCGCGUGUGCGACGAAGGCCUUCGGGUUGUAAAGCACUGUCGAGGGGAAGAAAAGCCGCAAGGCCUGAUCGACCCCUGGAGGAAGCACGGGCUAAGUUCGUGCCAGCAGCCGCGGUAAGACGAACCGUGCGAACGUUGUUCGGAUUCACUGGGCUUAAAGGGCGCGUAGGCGGGCCGUCAAGUCAGGGGUGAAAGCCCCCAGCUCAACUGGGGAAGUGCCUCUGAGACUGACGGUCUCGAGGGGGAUAGGGGCAUGCGGAACUCUCGGUGGAGCGGUGAAAUGCGUAGAUAUCGGGAGGAACGCCGGUGGCGAAAGCGGCAUGCUGGAUCCCUUCUGACGCUGAGGCGCGAAAGCCAGGGGAGCGAACGGGAUUAGAUACCCCCGUAGUCC
RNAcentral lists this ribosomal RNA (782 nucleotides) under uncultured bacterium. RNAcentral describes it as "bacterial SSU rRNA". It matches the Rfam family "Bacterial small subunit ribosomal RNA", at positions 8 to 796 of the family's 1533-position model. The record is from RNAcentral.